UACAGAGGGUGCAAGCGUUGCUCGGAAUCAUUGGGCGUAAAGGGUAGGUAGGUGGUCUCAUUUGUCUGGGGUGAAAGCCCAGGGCUUAACCCUGGAAGUGCCCCGGAAACGGUGAGACUGGAGUAUUGGAGAGGGUCGUGGAAUUCCCGGUGUAGCGGUGAAAUGCGCAGAGAUCGGGAGGAACACCCGUGGCGAAGGCGGCUCUCUGGGACGGUACUGACGCUGAGACGCGAAAGCGUGGGGAGCGAACAGG
Molecule: ribosomal RNA, 253 nt
Filed under: uncultured bacterium
Lineage: Bacteria
Description: partial 16S ribosomal RNA
Rfam family: Bacterial small subunit ribosomal RNA
Source: RNAcentral